AUGCAAGUCGAGCGGAAACGAAGAGGUGCUUGCACCUCUGGCGUCGAGCGGCGGACGGGUGAGUAAUGCUUGGGAAUAUGCCUUAUGGUGGGGGACAACAGUUGGAAACGACUGCUAAUACCGCAUGAUGUCUACGGACCAAAGUGGGGGACCUUCGGGCCUCACGCCAUAAGAUUAGCCCAAGUGGGAUUAGCUAGUUGGUGAGGUAAUGGCUCACCAAGGCUACGAUCCCUAGCUGGUUUGAGAGGAUGAUCAGCCACACUGGGACUGAGACACGGCCCAGACUCCUACGGGAGGCAGCAGUGGGGAAUAUUGCACAAUGGGCGCAAGCCUGAUGCAGCCAUGCCGCGUGUGUGAAGAAGGCCUUCGGGUUGUAAAGCACUUUCAGUAAGGAGGAAAGGUUAAGUGUUAAUAGCACUUAGCUGUGACGUUACUUACAGAAGAAGCACCGGCUAACUCCGUGCCAGCAGCCGCGGUAAUACGGAGGGUGCGAGCGUUAAUCGGAAUUACUGGGCGUAAAGCGUACGCAGGCGGUUUGU
This 539-nucleotide ribosomal RNA is filed under the name uncultured bacterium. Its description in RNAcentral is "bacterial SSU rRNA". It matches the Rfam family "Bacterial small subunit ribosomal RNA", at positions 55 to 583 of the family's 1533-position model. The record is from RNAcentral.